GGACAAGAGGGCCAUUUGGCUGCAAUAUCUGUCACCCCAGUAGUCACCAGGGUAGAUUUAGGUCAUCUGGCUUGCUAGACAGGUGUCUCUUUUCUCCCUUGUAGCUCCAUCUUUGCCCCUCUCAACACUGAAGGGGGGUUAAAGG
This 145-nucleotide small nuclear RNA is filed under the name Cricetulus griseus (Chinese hamster). RNAcentral's name for it is "7SK RNA". It matches the Rfam family "7SK RNA", at positions 1 to 146 of the family's 331-position model. From Rfam's summary of the family: 7SK was discovered as an abundant small nuclear RNA in the mid-70s but a possible function has only recently been suggested. Two independent studies have found that 7SK RNA binds the CDK9/cyclin T complex (known as elongation factor P-TEFb). Lineage: Eukaryota; Metazoa; Chordata; Mammalia; Rodentia; Cricetidae. The record is from Rfam by way of RNAcentral.